UACAGAGGGGGCAAGCGUUAUUCGGAAUUAUUGGGCGUAAAGGGCGCGUAGGCGGCUUUUCAAGUGACGGGUGAAAUCCCUCGGCUUAACCGAGGAACUGCCUGUCAGACUGGAAGGCUUGAGACCGGGAGAGGUGAGUGGAAUUCCCAGUGUAGCGGUGAAAUGCGUAGAUAUUGGGAGGAACACCAGUGGCGAAGGCGGCUCACUGGACCGGUACUGACGCUGAUGCGCGAAAGCGUGGGGAGCAAACGGG
RNAcentral lists this ribosomal RNA (253 nucleotides) under uncultured bacterium. RNAcentral's name for it is "partial 16S ribosomal RNA". It matches the Rfam family "Bacterial small subunit ribosomal RNA", at positions 524 to 776 of the family's 1533-position model. The record is from RNAcentral.